CAAAUUGAUUUGUUGGUGCCAUAGACAGUAGGUAUAAAAGUAAAUCCUACCGAGGACUUAACUUUACGGUUUAAUGAGGUCUUUAUGUCUAUGAUGUAAAGACCUUUUAUUAUGGUACC
Non-coding RNA from Clostridium sp. CAG:710, 119 nucleotides. The record is from Rfam. NCBI's taxonomy places the organism in Bacteria, Bacillati, Bacillota, Clostridia, Eubacteriales, Clostridiaceae.